Long non-coding RNA from Penaeus vannamei (Pacific white shrimp), 1357 nucleotides. RefSeq lists it as uncharacterized. The record is from RefSeq and is a predicted model, not a curated record. NCBI's taxonomy places the organism in Eukaryota, Metazoa, Arthropoda, Malacostraca, Decapoda, Penaeidae.
UUGAUAAGCUUCAUGUCUGUUAUGUCAACUCAAGACUUCGGGGUUAAUACGCUGACAUUCAAAAGAAACAGGACUUUAUUAAACUGAAGACUAACAUGAAGUGCCAAGAAUAUUGCGGGCAGUGAAAACAAAGUCUUGUUGCAAGAUGUUCUUGGAUAUGACUAUUAUGAUUGUAUACAAGAGGUCUUCUACACACCAAUCAAGAUACCUGACAACUGUGAACUACUCCAGACUGACUUUGAAUCCCUCGGCAAUGGGAAACCAUAUGGCAAAUGGAGUUCAGGCCCAACAAAGGCAAAAUUUUAAAUUUCACCUGCUGUCAAACACCAAAAAAAUUCCCAUAUUCAAUCCACUCCCAACAACUACCCAACAUGCCACACAAAUACCUAAGCAUCACACCAUAUAUUAACACUAAAUUUAACACACAUACAGACAGUAUACAGCAUAAAGCAAACAGAACACUGGGUUUAUUAAGGAGGAAUCUACAUGGGUGUGCAAGACACAAAACACAUAACUUACAACACAUUUGUAUAUCCAACACGUUAGCAUUGCGCAGCCGUGUAGGACCCACACACAGAAGCAAAUAUUAACAAACUACCAAAGAUAACCACCAUCACACCCAGGUUCAUUGCAAACAAUGACACAAACUGCCAUGACAACAGGUAUCAAACAACUAAAUAAUGACACCCUCACAAUAUGCAGACAAGCACACAGAUUAACAGUUAUGUUUAAAUUAACAAACAGUCCAAUUGACAUAAUUACUUACACCACACAAACACAACUAAUGGAUGUAACACCCGCAACCAGAAAUAUAUAUAACAUACCACACUAGUAUAGAUUCCUACAAAUCCACAAAGCAGACACCUUCCACCAACCCACAUUAGCACAUCUCAGAACACAUACAUAAAAUUCGAUGAUAAGCCACCCUUACCCUCCUUUCCCCCUUCCUUUUGCUCCCUCCAAUAGCCAACUUACAUAUGAGUAUUAUAUGCACUAACGGAAUUGAGAUUGAGAAGAAACACUACCGGAAGUAUCAGAAGUACUCCCAAGAAAGUUUUAGCCAGAAGUUCCAAGACCAGAUGUUGGAAGAUGAACGAGACUAUCACCAAGUUAGACCAAGCCCAAGUUAAGCAUGAAAUAUUUUUAUAACUGCUUUUUUUCAGAAAUUUCAGCCAUUAUUGUUCAGUUUGUCAUGUUUCUGGUUUUGUGUGUGGUUUGUGGCCAGUCCCAUCCUGCAUGAUGUGGAAUGCCUGUCUAAACCUGGCAGACUUUUUCUUCAAAUUUUUUCACUAUCUGAAAUGUAUGGAUGUAUGUAUGCAUAUGUAAACAUGUAUAUAAACAUAUAAAUGUGUAUAUA